CGUGUAGGUGGUUAGAUAAGUCAGAUGUGAAAGCUUCCGGCUUAACCGGAAAACUGCAUUUGAAACUGUUUAGCUUGAGUGCGAGAGAGGGUAGCGGAAUUCCCAGUGUAGCGGUGAAAUGCGUAGAUAUUGGGAAGAACACCAGUAGCGAAGGCGGCUACCUGGCUCGCAACUGACGCUAAUGCGCGAAAGCGUGGGGAGCAAACA
Molecule: ribosomal RNA, 207 nt
Filed under: uncultured bacterium
Lineage: Bacteria
Description: partial 16S ribosomal RNA
Rfam family: Bacterial small subunit ribosomal RNA
Source: RNAcentral